RNAcentral lists this non-coding RNA (29 nucleotides) under Homo sapiens (human). The record is from RNAcentral. Lineage: Eukaryota; Metazoa; Chordata; Mammalia; Primates; Hominidae.
UCCAAUCUGGGGGUGAUGAGAGGCAGUGA